GUGGUGACCUAAUGGUUAGAGCGUCCGCCUCUGAUGCGGGUGGUCGCGGGUUCCAAACCCGGCCUAGUCA
Molecule: non-coding RNA, 70 nt
Organism: Potamilus streckersoni
Lineage: Eukaryota; Metazoa; Mollusca; Bivalvia; Unionida; Unionidae
Source: the annotation of a GenBank genome assembly